UGCGGCUGGAUCACCUCCUUUCUGGAAAACUGCAUUCAAUAUUGAACGCCCACACUUAUCGGUUGUUGGAACAAGCCACUGACUUGCGAAGUCAUUCGCAAGGAUGGGGAAUGGGUCUGUAGCUCAGCUGGUUAGAGCACCGUCUUGAUAAGGCGGGGGUCGUUGGUUCGAGCCCAACUAGACCCACCAAAUUCCAAUGGACGGAUACGGUAAGAGGACACUGGGGGAUUAGCUCAGCUGGGAGAGCACCUGCUUUGCAAGCAGGGGGUCGUCGGUUCGAUCCCGUCAUCCUCCACCAACAACACUUCGGAAAUUCAACACCAAAGCUGCUUUGCAAGAGGCUGCUUUGUUGUUGAUCAAUAUCGAUUGAUCAAUCGGCUGUUCUUUAAAAAUUCAUAGAGUCGAAUCAGAGUUGUUAGCGGAAACUGCACAUUGGUAAAGGUUUAGUGCAGACCGUGCCGCUAGCAACAAGAAUUUUUGAUUGCGUCAAAACGAAUAUUCAAACCUAGUUUGAAAUUCUUAAGUAAUACGAUGACAACUCGAAAGAGUUGAAGUUGUUUACGGCAUAACGCGUCAGGUGAAAGACCUGGCAAGUCCUUGAAAGAUUAGAUGGCGAUGUUUC
This 622-nucleotide transfer RNA is filed under the name Acidovorax facilis. RNAcentral describes it as "partial contains 16S ribosomal RNA, 16S-23S ribosomal RNA intergenic spacer, and 23S ribosomal RNA". The stretch from base 113 to 186 matches the Rfam family "tRNA". The record is from RNAcentral. Lineage: Bacteria; Pseudomonadati; Pseudomonadota; Betaproteobacteria; Burkholderiales; Comamonadaceae.